Vitis vinifera (wine grape) is the source of this 1951-nucleotide RNA transcript. It is a transcript of the gene named DNA-directed RNA polymerases II, IV and V subunit 3, with no coding region annotated. NCBI's taxonomy places the organism in Eukaryota, Viridiplantae, Streptophyta, Magnoliopsida, Vitales, Vitaceae. The record is from RefSeq and is a predicted model, not a curated record. The transcript is spliced from 5 exons.
UGAUUGUUUUAUUUUUUAAGUUGUAAUUUAUUUAAUACUUUCGAUUUUGGAAAAUUGAUUUAAAAAAAAAAAAGUAUAGAAAUAAUUGAAAAUCAUCAACCCUACUCGGCCCCUUUCGCACCAUCUGAUUUCCCUCCCUCCAAAUUCGAUGUUUCCAUUUCCCCUGACCAAAGCAUCUGUCUGAGACAAACAGGGAGGUAGAAGAAGAAGAAGAAGAGCAGCAAUGGAAGGAGUAUCCUACCAGCGUUUCCCAAAAAUCAAGAUCCGGGAAGUCAAGGACGACUACGCCAAGUUCGAGCUCCGUGAGACCGAUGCCAGCAUGGCCAACGCUCUCCGCCGUGUCAUGAUCGCCGAAGUUCCCACCGUUGCCAUUGACCUUGUCGAAAUCGAGGUUAACUCCUCUGUUCUCAAUGACGAGUUCAUCGCCCACCGACUCGGACUCAUUCCUCUCACCAGUGAGCGAGCCAUGGCCAUGCGAUUCUCUCGCGACUGUGACGCAUGCGACGGUGACGGCCAGUGCGAGUUUUGUUCCGUCGAGUUCCAUUUGCGCGCCAAAUGCAUGACCGACGAAACCCUUGAUGUUACUAGCAAGGACCUCAUCAGCUCCGACCAUACUGUUGUCCCUGUUGACUUCUCCGAUUCCUCUGGCUACGAUUCCGCCGAUAAGAAGGGAAUUAUAAUUGUGAAGCUGCGGCGAGGGCAAGAACUGAGGCUGAGAGCUAUUGCCAGAAAGGGGAUUGGGAAGGACCACGCCAAAUGGUCACCGGCGGCUACUGUUACUUUUAUGUACGAGCCUGAGAUUCAUAUCAAUGAAGAUUUGAUGGAAUCUUUGACGCUUGAGGAGAAAACAAGUUGGGUUGAGAGCAGUCCCACAAAAGUUUUCGACAUUGAUGCUAGUUCCCAACAGGUUGUUGUGGCUGAUGCUGAGGCAUACACUUAUGAUGAUGAAGUGCUCAAGAAAGCAGAAGCUAUGGGGAAGCCAGGGCUUGUGGAGAUCUAUGCCAAAGAAGACAGUUUUAUAUUCACAGUUGAAUCUACUGGUGCAAUCAAAGCUUCUCAGUUGGUGCUCAAUGCAAUAGAUGUUCUUAAACAAAAGCUUGAUGCAGUGCGGCUAUCAGAGGAUACGGUAGAAGCUGAUGAUCAAUUUGGUGAACUCGGUGCUCAUAUGCGAGGAGGAUGAUCAUUUUGGACCAAACCCACAAGCUGUCAAGAUGUCCUUGGUGUGCCAUUUGGAAAUGUUUCUGGGCAGGCUGUCAUGGAAUAUGAUGAUUUUCCCUUAGUAGCAGGAUUCUCCUAUAUAGUGUGAGUUCCACAGGUUGGAACAGCAAAAUUUAAUGUUCCAAUUGAAAGCUUGUAUUCUUUUCUUUUCUCUUGUACUAGGUCCACAGCAGUUACAUAAUAACAUCUGAGAAUUUGAAAUUAGGGUUUGUUAUUCUUUUUUAGUGGAAAAAAGAAGAGAGAAAGGUCGGGGUUGGACUACAGGGGAAUUGGUUCUUUUCCCAUCCUUACUUGGAAGACAUCAUGUGCUUAUUUGGGACAAACAGUAUUCUUUCUUCCAGAUGGAAAGAAUCUUACCUUGAGAGUCUUCAAACUAUUAUCCAACAAGGCAGCCUUACCAAUUAGUACGGAGGUCACAAAUUGGUCCUGAGGAUCCAUGGAUUCAAUAUCCAGAACACUUAAUUGUUGGAUUAUCUGAAUGAAAAGGAGGGAAUGAACUGUAUUGAAAGUUGUAACAUAAAAUUUUCAAAUUGGGUUCACAGGCCUUGAUUGUGAAAUGCGUCAUGCGUGACUCUGGAUUGUAGCAAAAAAAACCCCAGAUCAGCAUGUUUGUAAUGCAGGAAAAUGCCACUAGGAAACUAAUUACCUGCUGCUGUGGUGUAAAAAUGAGGGAAAUGUUAGUCUGUUUCCUGAUUUUAUUUCCAUUUAUACAAGGAGUGCGCUUCCCAGGAAA